RNAcentral lists this ribosomal RNA (677 nucleotides) under uncultured bacterium. Its description in RNAcentral is "bacterial SSU rRNA". It matches the Rfam family "Bacterial small subunit ribosomal RNA", at positions 75 to 749 of the family's 1533-position model. The record is from RNAcentral.
CUUGCUCCUUGGGUGACGAGCGGCGGACGGGUGAGUAAUGCCUGGGGAUCUGCCCGAUAGAGGGGGAUAACUACGGGAAACUGUAGCUAAUACCGCAUAAUGUCUACGGACCAAAGUGGGGGCUCUUCGGACCUCAUGCUAUCGGAUGAACCCAGGUGGGAUUAGCUAGUUGGUGAGGUAAUGGCUCACCAAGGCGACGAUCUCUAACUGGUUUGAGAGAAUGACCAGUCACACUGGAACUGAGACACGGUCCAGACUCCUACGGGAGGCAGCAGUGGGGAAUAUUGCACAAUGGGCGCAAGCCUGAUGCAGCCAUGCCGCGUGUGUGAAGAAGGCCUUCGGGUUGUAAAGCACUUUCAGCGGGGAGGAAGGGUCACUAGUUAAUACCUAGUGGCAUUGACGUUACUCGCAGAAGAAGCACCGGCUAACUCCGUGCCAGCAGCCGCGGUAAUACGGAGGGUGCAAGCGUUAAUCGGAAUUACUGGGCGUAAAGCGCACGCAGGCGGUUUGUUAAGUCAGAUGUGAAAUCCCCGAGCUCAACUUGGGAACUGCAUUUGAAACUGGCAAGCUAGAGUCUUGUAGAGGGGGGUAGAAUUCCAGGUGUAGCGGUGAAAUGCGUAGAGAUCUGGAGGAAUACCGGUGGCGAAGGCGGCCCCCUGGACAAAGACUGACGCUCA